GAUGAACGCUGGCGGCGUGCCUAAUACAUGCAAGUCGAGCGAACAGGCGAGGAGCUUGCUCCUCUGACGUUAGCGGCGGACGGGUGAGUAACACGUGGAUAACCUACCUAUAAGACUGGGAUAACUUCGGGAAACCGGAGCUAAUACCGGAUAAUAUAUUGAACCGCAUGGUUCAAUAGUGAAAGACGGUUUUGCUGUCACUUAUAGAUGGAUCCGCGCCGCAUUAGCUAGUUGGUAAGGUAACGGCUUACCAAGGCGACGAUGCGUAGCCGACCUGAGAGGGUGAUCGGCCACACUGGAACUGAGACACGGUCCAGACUCCUACGGGAAGCAGCAGUAGGGAAUCUUCCGCAAUGGGCGAAAGCCUGACGGAGCAACGCCGCGUGAGUGAUGAAGGUCUUCGGAUCGUAAAACUCUGUUAUUAGGGAAGAACAAAUGUGUAAGUAACUAUGCACGUCUUGACGGUACCUAAUCAGAAAGCCACGGCUAACUACGUG
This 497-nucleotide ribosomal RNA is filed under the name uncultured bacterium. Its description in RNAcentral is "partial 16S ribosomal RNA". It matches the Rfam family "Bacterial small subunit ribosomal RNA", at positions 28 to 507 of the family's 1533-position model. The record is from RNAcentral.